GAUGAACGCUAGCGGCAGGCUUAAUACAUGCAAGUCGAACGGUAAGGUCUCUUCGGAGAUACACGAGUGGCGCACGGGUGCGUAACGCGUAUGCAACCUACCUUUAACUGGGAAAUAGCCCCGAGAAAUCGGGAUUAAUGUCCCAUAUUAUACUUUGAAUACCUAUUCGAGGAAUGAAAGCUCCGGCGGUUAUUGAUGGGCAUGCGUGACAUUAGCUAGUUGGUGAGGUAACGGCUCACCAAGGCAACGAUGUCUAGGGGUCCUGAGAGGGUUAACCCCCACACUGGUACUGAGACACGGACCAGACUCCUACGGGAGGCAGCAGUAAGGAAUAUUGGGCAAUGGACGCAAGUCUGACCCAGCCAUGCCGCGUGAAGGAUGAAUGUCCUAUGGAUUGUAAACUUCUUUUAUGCAGGAAAAAUAUCCCGGUCGUGAACCGGGACUGAUGGUACUGUAUGAAUAAGCAUCGGCUAACUCCGUGCCAGCAGCAGCCGCGG
This 497-nucleotide ribosomal RNA is filed under the name uncultured bacterium. RNAcentral describes it as "partial 16S ribosomal RNA". It matches the Rfam family "Bacterial small subunit ribosomal RNA", at positions 28 to 523 of the family's 1533-position model. The record is from RNAcentral.